RNAcentral lists this unclassified non-coding RNA (4134 nucleotides) under Leishmania donovani. RNAcentral describes it as "gene:LdHU3.36.7310(CDS-product:AP-3_complex_subun it_beta_putative)". The record is from RNAcentral. Lineage: Eukaryota; Euglenozoa; Kinetoplastea; Trypanosomatida; Trypanosomatidae.
GAAAAAAAAACAAAAGCAAGGACCCAAAACCAAUACAGGAGGGCGAGCAAGCAGCCCUGAGCGGCGUUGGUGUCGGCGGCAGAGUCUGCAUCAGUGCAAGGUUGACGCACGGUUGUCCAAUUGUGGGCUUUGUGGGCGGGCCCGUUUUUCUUCCUCUUUCUUUUAGUUAGUGGCCCUUUGCUACUGGUGGCGGUGCUGGUGGGAGCUCCUCAAAGCCUCUGCAUCCGUUGCCACACACAUACACACACACACACACACUCAGGCAAACAGCCAGACACCCACCCACAUCAUCUAUCCGUGCUGCCAGGGAGAAGAAAAAGUGUCUUAACGUGCGCCCACUUUGUUUUUAUUUCCCCACUGUCGUGCCCGUUUCUUCGAAGUUUCGUCUCUGACCUUGCGCGUCGCCUCCGGUGUUCGUCUCCCCGCCUCUCCGCUCGCUUGUAUACUCCCCCUCUUCCACCGAAUAACUCUCUCUCUCUCGUUCCUUUGUGUAGCUGGGUGCGUGCGAGUGCAUCCAAUUCGUGAUUCCCUCAUCCUUACUCUUCCGACGAGGCAGCUAAUCGGUUCGGCGGCUCUUUUUCGCCAACUUCGUCUUGUAGCGCUCAUCCUCCCUCUCUGUUAGGCGCAGGUUUUUCGAUCCAAUGAACGGCGCGGCGCUUAUUGAGCAGGCCACUUUUGUCACGGAGCGGGCGUGGGAAUAUGCGAGCAACACGACCUCCGUCUUCAACAAAGCCCGCUCGCUUGUCGCCGGGGAUGCACAGUUCUUCUCGGUUGCACCUAGAGUCGAUGAUCUUCGACGCAGCCUGAGUUCGGAGUCGCUCCAUGACAAGCGCGAUGGCAUGAAGCGCAUCAUCGCGCAGAUGUGCAAGGGAAGUGACAUGCGCCACUUCUAUCCUGACGUAGUCAAGAAUAUCCACGUUCCCUCGAUCGAGCUGCGCAAGCUCAUCUACGUCUUCAUCGUCUAUUAUGCUGAAGACUGCCCCAACGAGACACUUCUGUCUAUCUCUGCCUUUCAGAAGGACCUGCUUGACCCCAGCAUGCAUGUCCGCGCCCUCGCCCUCCGCAUGCUCGCAUCGCUCCGCAUUCUUGCCAUUCAGCCGGUGGUGAUGGUUGCCGUGAGGAAGUGCGCCGAUGACAUGGCACCGCUGGUGCGCAAGACGGCCGCCCUCGCGCUUGUGCAGAUGCACACGGUAGCUCGCCAAGACCUGGACCGUGACACCGUGCGCCAGCUACUGCGAACGUUUCUGUCUGAUCGCAACCCUGACGUGGUCGGCGCAGCCGCGCUGGCGUACACGCGGAUCUGCCCGGAUGAGUGGGACCUGGUGCACGGCGUGUACCGCCGCCUGUGCAGGAUUCUCAAGGAUUGUGAGGAGUGGGGUCAGGUGGUGCUGCUGCGCCUGUUGCUGCGCUACGCUCGCCGGCACUUCGUGGAUCCCAGUGGGCCGUUUGCGGCCAAGGCUGCCCGAUGCAGCCGUGGCUCCUCGAGUUCCAGCGGGGAAGGGACGGACAGUGACGACGACGAUGCAACGUCCUCGUCUCGCUCCUCCUUCAACAUGACACCGUCACGGGGGCGCGACGCCAACAAGAGCGACGCCGCCGCUGAUGCACAGAUGGACCCAGAUCUGCUGCUGCUUCUCAACUCGACUCGGCCGCUGCUGUGGAGCAUGAACAGCGCCACGGUAGUCGCGACCAUCGCGCUCUUAUGCCACUGCGGCACACGACGCUUUCAGGAGGCGUGCGUGAAGCCGGCGAUGCGACUGCUGAAUACGUGCACCGAGGGCCAUAUUGCCGUGCUGCAUGUCGUCUACGCCCUGGUGUUGCUGCAACGCGAUGCAUUCCUUCCGUACCUGAAGAGCUUCUUUUUGCUCCCCCUGGACGCGGCCGAUGUGCGGCACGUUAAGCUACGCAUCCUCUCCCGCCUGGUAACGCCGGCCACCUGGACGGAGGUGUCUCGGGAGUUCCGGUCCUACCUGCGGCAGUACAACGACGCCGCCGUUGUCGAGGCGAUUCAAGGGCUGGCGCAGGCUGUGCAGCAAUACCCACCCUUCGCAGCACACACCAUCCGUCUCGUGACCCCGCUGCUCUCAAGUCGGACCAGCUCACCCGCUGUCGUCGCGGAGGCUGUAGCGGUGCUGCGGGUGCUCGUACUGCAAGGCACCGACCCCGUGCGCAUCUCUCGGCUUGCCUGCCAGCUGACACUUGACAUUAUGGAGCAGCGAAUCACGGAGCCGUCGGCGGUGGCGACAAUUCUCUGGUUGACCGGCGAGAACAUAUCCAAGCACCCCUCCAUGGCCGCUGCGGCGCCGGACUGCUUCCGCGUGUUUGCGAAGCGCUUCGGUGGCCUCACUUCGGAGGUGAAGCGACAGGUUCUCACGUUGGGCUGCAAAGUGUGGGUGCACUUGCAGGGCAGCAGCGAACUCUCGGAGCGCUUCAAACGGGUGUACCACUACGUCGCAGAGCUAGCCAAGUACGACGAUGACUACAGAAUUCGUGACGAGGAGCGCCUCAUUGAAGCGACGUUUGAUCGGCAGAGCGACACAUUCGCAGGUGUGCAGACCGCGCUGAUGCGUGAAAAGCCGCUGCCAGACGUCAACGACCCAUACGCCGAUCGAGCCGGCCUGGAGAUUGGUACCUUCUCCCGGCUGCUAGGGUCGGCCGUGCGCAUCUACGACCCGCUGCCGACUUGGGCGACGGAGGCGACAGAUGGGGCACUACGCCGCUCCAUCGAAGAGAUGAACGCGACUGCCGCCGCGGUAACCAUGUUUGAGUCCACCUCCGGUGAGGAAGAGAGCGGCAGCAAUAACAGCAGUGACACGGAAGGGGAAGAGAGCGACGACAGCGACGGCGCAGCCUCGCCGUCCGGCUCCUACGAGUCCAGCUACAGCGGCUCCAGCGACGUGGGUGAUGUGAGCGGCAAGUCGAGCUCCGCGUCUGACAGCAAUGCCGCGGCUCCGUGCGGCGCUUCAGCGGCGCAGAAGGCCGGCAGCGGUGCUGGCACAGUGAAAGCAUCGCCGCCCAAAUUCACGGUGAAGGUCACGAUGCAGUCGGCGCCACCGCCCGCUCCUCCUCCAGCUCCAGCACAGGCGGGUGAAAAGACAGAUGCCGUGCUUGCUGUGGUUUCAGAGCUGCCGCCAUCGCCACAGACGGUCACGGAGCCUCACUCAGUCGUAGAGGCGUAGGCGACAAGUUUGUGCUUAUUCUUUCCCUCCCUCUAUUUGUGUGCCAGCUGUAGGUGGUUCAGUGCAGCAGCUCUCACAUUGAUACCGCAGUGGCGCGCUUGCGGAGGAGGGGAUAGGACGAGAGGGCCGCGUGUCGAACCUGCUUGCAUCUCUCUCUGUGCGUCUGUGGCCUUGCUGUUGCUGCCCAUGUUGAGCCAUCGACUGUCUUGAUGGCGGCUCUCCGACUUCUGCUCUUCUUUUUUUUUGUUUGCUCAUCGCUGCUCAGACGCUCGAGGGGGGAGGGUGGCGGCGCUUGCGGACCGAAAGUCGUCAACGUCUUUUAGGUCCACCAGCUCCCUUCUCUUUCGCCUUUGUGGAACAAGAGCGGAAACAGACUAAAGGAAAGGGAAAAGAGUUCACAGAAGUACACCCGCACAUCUGCGUACCAGGAGACACGCUGCGCGAUUCACUCUCCUCCCCCACCUGCUCUUUAGUAGCAACCGACUAAACCCAACAAAGUGGUAUUCGAGAAACACACACACACACACACACACACACACACACAGGCAUACCCCCCCCCCCCCCCCCCAGAAAAAAACGAGCGGACCCCGCGAGCAAGCACCCACAGCGCGCACCGCGGGCGAACGCCACCCUACAGCGUGCCUUCACUGCCUCUGUGAAAUGAAGUGACGACAGUCGGUAGAGCCAGCCAAGGAAGCAGCCAAACUCAUUCCGGGUAUAGCCUGCACUCCAUCGCUGAAAGUAGUCAUUGGUGCAACACCCGCCCCUUCUCUUUGCUCUGCACAUCAGGGAACACGCCAGGAUUCUGUUUGCAUGAACUGUAUGCGCUCACCCCGUCGAUCUUCUUUGGCUUGACAGGCGACGGCGACAGGGUGGGGUGGCGUAGUGAGGUGAUAUCCGCGACCGUUCCAGCGUACCCUCGAUGGAGGGGAGGGGUUCACCUUUCUAGGUCGUC